GGGGAAAGAGACUGGGCACUACGGACCUGACCUUGCACAAGCCAUUUAAUCUCACUCAGCCUCAGUUUCUCCAUUGGUAUGAAAUGGGGGAAAGUCAUAUUGAUCUUAAAAUGUUGAAGCCUCAGUCUGGACUCAAUAAAAGCUUGUUUCCCUCCGCUGCUUUCUUAGAUCUGCAACCGUCUUUUCUCCCUCCUUUCCUUGUAGUUUUUCCCCCCAACACUCUCUGCAGCUGUCGCUCCUCAUCCCUGCCUUCUGGCACCAAUCCCCUCCUAUAGCUCAUCCCCCCUCCGUCCAUCCCUCCUUCUCCCCUGUCUACGUUCUUGUUCUGAAGGGCUACUAAGGGUUAAGGAUCCCAAAGCUUGCAGAGACUGACCCUGUGUAAGCUCUCUAUCCUGUUUUCUGAGUGUGAGGCAGGGAAUGGGCUGGGGUGGGGGUGGGCUGUGUGUCAGCAGGUAAUUAGCACUCCAGCCCUUAGAUAUGGGAGCUCCAGAGCUUGCCCUAAAAUUGGAUCACUUCCUUGUCAUUUUGGGCACUGGGGCUAGGGUGAUUCCUGCAGUUCCCCCAUGGCACCACAUCACUGACUAGAUAUGCUUUCUCCAAAUUGUCCGCAGACCCUUUCAUCCUUCCUCUAUUUUCUAUGGGAAUUGGAAGGCAGCAGGGCUGAUGAAUGGAUGUACUCCUUGGUUUCAUUAUGUGUGUGUUGGGAAGGGAAACUAGAGAGAGAGGAUGGAGGGGUGUCUGCAUUUAGUCCAGACACUGCUUGGCUCGCUCCCCAAGUCCUUCUGUCUCUGACUUCCUGCAGAACUGUGAGCUGAAGGUUUUCCUCGUCUCCCCAUCUUACCCCAUCACACUGAUUUCUUUCUUGGGCACUAGUACUACUUGGUGCCAAGAGUCAUGUUGUUUGGGAUGGAGAUGCCUGCCUCGCCUCUGAGUGUUGUACUUACAUGUCUAUAUGGACAAGCCUGGCAUGAACAGCAGUGUGCCUGGAUCAUUUGGACGAACCUCCUCCCACCCCCCACUCCACUGCAUCUCUGCUGUUCAUACAUUCCCCUUGGCGGGGGGUGGUGGGGGGCAGGGACACACUGAGGCAAUGAAGAAUGUAGAAUAAAAAUGAAUCCAUCCCCCCACUGGAUUUGGGGGCUCCAACGGCUGGUCCGUGCUUUAGGAGAGAAGUUAAUGUUUGCACCAGGCUUCCUGUAGGGAGGUUCCUCCCCAAAGCAGCUGGCGCUAAGGCUUGGGGGCGUCCUACUGAGCUGGGUUCCCGCUCCUUCUUGGGCUCCAUGAAGGAAGUAAGAGGCUGGUUGAGAGCUUCCCUUGGCCCCUUUCUGGUGCCUCCCCACCUGGCUUCAAAUUUAUGAGCAUUGCCCUCAUCAUCCUUUCUUGUUCCAGAGUCAGUGGUCCUCUUCCUAAGGAGGUCUGCUUGCCAUGGGCCAAAAGGCACUGGGUGGGUUUUUUUCUCUUCCUACCCUCAGGAUUGGACCUCUUGGCUUCUACUGGAUUGGGGAUCUGGGAAUAGAGACUGUGAUGGGGCAGAUGGCAUGAUGUCUACACUGCCAGAGAGACUGUGAGGAUGAGAUUAAUAGUGGGGCCUUUGUGAGCUAGAGGCGGGGAGUGUCUAUUCCGGGUUUUGUUCUUGGAGGACUGUAAAAGUGAAGGACAAGACAUGGGCGAUGGAGAUAAGAAAAGCCCAGCUUGAUAUGAAUGGACAUCUUGACCCUCCCUGGAAUGGCACCGGCUCUGGGGGCAGAGUGAGGAGGAGAGGGGAAGGGCUCCUUACAGCCUAGUCUCCCCAUCUUAAGACAGCAUCUUCCACAGAGUCACCUCCUCUGCCCAGAGCUGCCCUCAGAGCAUCCAGUGAAUGCUGGUAGAGGCUUCUAGAAGGGAAGAAGUUGUCCCUCUGAGGCCCCCGUGGGUGACCUGCAGAGACUUCCUGCCUGGGACUCAUCUGUGAUCUGGGACAGAAGCAGAGGAGGCUGGCUGCUGUGAUACCCCCUGACCUCCCCCAGUGCCUUCUUCAGAAUGUCUGCGCUGUCUUCUGACCCUGUUAGUCACUGUGGUUCAUCAAAUAAAACUGUUUGU
Long non-coding RNA from Macaca fascicularis (crab-eating macaque), 2079 nucleotides. The record is from Ensembl. NCBI's taxonomy places the organism in Eukaryota, Metazoa, Chordata, Mammalia, Primates, Cercopithecidae.